RNAcentral lists this ribosomal RNA (433 nucleotides) under uncultured bacterium. Its description in RNAcentral is "partial 16S ribosomal RNA". It matches the Rfam family "Bacterial small subunit ribosomal RNA", at positions 29 to 507 of the family's 1533-position model. The record is from RNAcentral.
AACGAACGCUGGCAGCAUGCCUAACACAUGCAAGUCGAACGAGACCUUCGGGUCUAGUGGCGCACGGGUGCGUAACGCGUGGGAACCUGCCCUUAGGUUCGGAAUAACUCCCCGAAGGGGGUGCUAAUACCGGAUAAUGUCUUCGGACCAAAGAUUUAUCGCCUUUGGAUGGGCCCGCGUUGGAUUAGCUAGUUGGUAGGGUAAAAGCCUACCAAGGCGACGAUCCAUAGCUGGUCUGAGAGGAUGAUCAGCCACACUGGGACUGAGACACGGCCCAGACUCCUACGGGAGGCAGCAGUGGGGAAUAUUGGACAAUGGGCGAAAGCCUGAUCCAGCAAUGCCGCGUGAGUGAUGAAGGCCUUAGGGUUGUAAAGCUCUUUUACCCGGGAUGAUAAUGACAGUACCGGGAGAAUAAGCUCCGGCUAACUCCGUG